UAACACGUGGAUAACCUACCUAUAAGACUGGGAUAACUUCGGGAAACCAGAGCUAAUACCGGAUAAUAUUUUGAACCGCAUGGUUCAAAAGUGAAAGACGGUCUUGCUGUCACUUAUAGAUGGAUCCGCGCUGCAUUAGCUAGUUGGUAAGGUAACGGCUUACCAAGGCAACGAUGCAUAGCCGACCUGAGAGGGUGAUCGGCCACACUGGAACUGAGACACGGUCCAG
Molecule: ribosomal RNA, 229 nt
Filed under: uncultured Staphylococcus sp.
Lineage: Bacteria; Bacillati; Bacillota; Bacilli; Caryophanales; Staphylococcaceae
Description: partial 16S ribosomal RNA
Rfam family: Bacterial small subunit ribosomal RNA
Source: RNAcentral